Molecule: RNA transcript, 4782 nt
Organism: Loxodonta africana (African savanna elephant)
Lineage: Eukaryota; Metazoa; Chordata; Mammalia; Proboscidea; Elephantidae
Gene: MTURN
Gene name: maturin, neural progenitor differentiation regulator homolog
Exons: 4
Source: RefSeq, a predicted model, not a curated record
CGAGCCGGAAAGGAGGGAGAGGGGCGGAGGGAGGCGGGCAGGCAGGCAGGCAGGCAGCGAGCGCGGAGCCGAGGCAGCGCGGGCGCGGCGGCCAGGAUGGAUUUCCAGCAGCUGGCUGACGUUGCGGAGAAAUGGUGCUCCAACACACCCUUCGAUCUCAUCGCCACCGAGGAGACCGAGCGCAGGAUGGAUUUCUACGCCGACCCCGGCGUCUCCUUCUACGUGCUGUGUCCGGACAACGGCUGCGGGGACAAUUUUCACGUGUGGAGUGAGAGCGAGGACUGCCUGCCUUUCUUGCAGCUAGCUCAGGAUUACAUCUCCUCCUGCGGCAAGAAGACGCUCCAGGAAGUCUUGGAAAAAGUCUUCAAGUCUUUCAGACCCUUACUGGGGCUUCCGGAUGCGGACGAUGAUGCAUUUGAAGAGUACAACGCAGACGUGGAAGAAGAGGAGCCAGAGGCGGACCACCCCCAGAUGGGGGUCAGUCAGCAGUAAACCUCCGAGGGCUUGUACCUGAGAAGAGUAAGCCCGGUGGUGCCCUAGGUGGGGUCGUGUGCUCCGGGUUAGCAUUUUGCGUUAGUGCUUCAAAACAGGAUGUCUGACUCCUGGCAUCCAAAUUAAAAUGAAAUACCUUUUUGAUGACCACAAAAUAUCUGUGAUGAGCUUUGCUCACAAGUGACCUGAAUUUCACUCCUGCUUCAGUGGGGUUUCUAUGGAGUUGUCUCGGUAGCCUUUGCCAUUUUAAAUUUAGAGUCCAUUUUGUGGCUGACUCUUCUCUCUCGAGUUUAUGCUGGAGAAUUCACCUUCGCUGACCUGAAUGUAGAGAACUCUGAGUGUACCAAGGAUAUGUUUCGAGUCCUCACAGGUGACCCUCCUGAGGGGAAGCGUGGCAGAAGAGAAGUGGCAGUCUGCACUUUUGAGUUCUAGGGGAAAUCUGAAAUUCUUGGUGAUCCAGCCUUCAUUUGUGGAUGGGAGCAAGAUUCAGCCAUCUACAUGAGACGCAAAAGCACGGAGCAGCUUUUUUUAGGCAAGAACUGUUUCAUGUAGGGUGUCUGUGCUUUCUUUGCCUUUAUAUUUCCUUUCGGAGAAAUCUCUUGUAAAUUACAAAACUGUGAAAUGGGUUGCCAAAAACUAUUGCCCUUUGUUAGAUGCUUUAAACAGUGUAAAUCCUGUACUGAACCCUGUCCACAUCUGCGCCCUCCUCCCUCCUGAGAGUGAGGAUCUCAUCCAAUGAUGUAAUUACCAUACGCUUGCUAUUAAAGAGCCUUCCAAAAUCCUGUGAUGUUUGUCUCUUUUUUACUCCAUCCACAAUGUUUGGUUCUAAAGAAAAUCUAAUGUGGUUUAUAAAUGAGGAGUAAGGAGCAUCAGCUAGUUUUGUGGUUGCUGCUUGGGGUAAGGGGAACAGCUGGGAGACAGAGGAGGAGGAAGGAGGCUACAUAAAACAUUAAUGUAGACUCAAAUGUUAAUAAUUCAUGUGUUUUGGGAUAUUAAUAUAUCUGUGCUGAUGCCAUAGCUGUCAUUUAGUAAUCUUCCAUUUCUCCUUUAAACUAGUACUUUAGUUUUGUACGUGAGGACCCAAAAUCUCUGGGUGGUGCAAACAGUUUGUGCUCAGCUGCUAACCAGAAAAUUGUCGGUUCGAACCCACUCAACAGCACUGCAAAAGAAAGGCCUGGUGAUCUGCUUUUUUAAAGAUUACAGCCAGGAAAACCCUGUGAUUCUGCUCCGUAAUACACUGGAAUCGACUCAGUGGUAAUGAGUUUGGGUUUUUUUUAGUCAGGAAUCAGGAGUCCCUGGGUGGCACAAAUGGUUAUGCGCUUAGCUCCUAACUGAAAGGUUGGUAGCUAAGCCCACCCAGAGGUGCCUUGGAAGAAAGGCCUGGUGAUCUACUUCCAAAAGAUCACACUCUAUGGAGCAGAGUUCUACUCUGACACACAUGAGGUUGCCGUGAGUCAGAAUUGACAGCAACUGAUGUCAGGAACCUUUUGUGGCACCAAUUAGAAAUCUAUAUCUUACGGUCAUUCUAUGGAUGACAUGACACCAUUUCCCCACCUCGUUCCUCUCAGGUAUUGUUAUUCACUUUACAAAAAUAGCAUUUAAAGAAUAAAUCUGGAAGUUGUUGGUAAGUGUAUUAUUUGUUGAAGAGAUGUUUCUUAAACAAAUGAUUCUCCAUAGAUUGUUAAAUUAGAUUUUAGAGAUCGGUUUAGUGGGCGCAGUGUGUACAUUUUAGAUAAACUGUGGUUCUUGGUUUUCAGUACAGCUGUGGUCAGUGUACUGAAGUGGGGGGACAGUAUGCACCUUUCCAAACCUCACUCUGGACCUAGGAGGCUGACUGCUCCUUGGUGGUGUGUUCUUCCCCAAACAAAGCCUUUCUUAUGGGACAAUGCCUUUGUAACUGUUAGUUGAGCACUCUUAUAGGUUUAUUUUCUACAGUGCGGAUUGGCUUCUUUAAGUAUAGGGACAGGUUUUAGAAAUACCGACACCUGUCCAAUUAAUCUUUCUGAAAUCACUUGGUCAGUUGGCUGGGAAAGAGGCAGAGAUUCUAGCCCAGGCCAGACUCCUCCCUCACUGACUGAUGGUAGGCACGUGGCUCCCUGGUCUUUAUUUCCUAAUCUGUACAAACCAGCUGUGUGGCCCUUAUCCCCUCUGGCACUGGCAUUUUGGGAAUGUAUCUCAUCUUGACUAGUAGAGUUGGUGUGGAGGAUGAAGAGCGUAGUUUUUGAGGGAAACCCUGUUUCACCAAACCAGGGCUGGGCGACUGGUAUUGGCAAAAUGGUAUUCUCUGAUUUUGAACCCCUCUGCCUUUUACUUUUAGAAACAAAGGUCCCAGUUGAUAUACCGUAUUUUUAUCAAACAAUGUAUGUGUUACAUGUAUUUUGUCAACUACACAACUCCUUUCCUCUACACAUUACCUUUGUAAGCAUGCUGUGCCGGUUUGUUUUUUGCAUGUUGCUGCCUUCAGUUUUUAAUUCUGCUCACAUGGAAACUUCACUUAAGGUAGGUAUUGAUUAUAUAUUCCUUGAAAUGUAAGCCAAAGGUGUUCACGUGUAGAUCAACUUGAGCUAAUGAGCUAUAAUACCAACUUAAAUCAGUAGACACAAACACACAGUUUUGGUUGUUUAUUUUCCGAUGACCAGGUGUGGUAGUUACCUGGUACUGCUAUAACAAAUACCACGAAUGGGUGGCUUUAACAAACAAAUUCAUUUUCUCACAGUUUAGGAGGUUUGAAGUCCAAAUUCAGGGUGCUAGCUCUAGGGGGGAAGGCUUUCUCUCUCUGUCAUUUCUGGAGAAAAGUCCUUGUCUCUUCGGAGCCUGUUUCUGGAUGAUCUUCACAUGGUUUGUCAUCUCUCUUUCCCCAUCUCUGCUUACUGGCUUGCUUGUUUAAUCUUUUUAUAUCUCAAAAGAGAUUGACUCAGAUGCACCCUACACUGAUCCUGCCUCAUUAACAUAACAAAGACAACUCUUUCCCAAAAUGGGAUUUUAUAACCACAGGCAUGCAGGUUAGGAUUUACAACACAUAUUUUUAGGGGACACAGUUCAAUCCGUAACACUAGGGGGACUACCAGACUUGAUCCAUGACUUCUCGACCAUAGCUUAUACCUUUAAAAAAAUACCUUUACGUUUAUCAUCAAAAGUAACAAUGAUUUACUUGUAAUAUGUGAGGACGGGUGAAUGAAGCAGAAGUUCACUUCUGGAAAGGUCAUGAGACAUGAGUGGUAACUAAUUUAAUUUCAUCAUUUCUGCACACUAUACAUGUGGGCGUGUUAUUUAUGUGGGCAUGUUAUUUUUUUAAAAAAAAUACUGUAGUAAAUAUAUAUGAGCCCAACUAGGUUGUCCCUGAGUGCUUUCUCCUUUCUUCCUACACUUCCCUUCUCUUUGUAAUCAAUAAUAGAUAUAAAAACCUACACAAAAUAGGAAGUUUUGGGACCCUUUGCUUAGGCAUAUGAGAUAAAUCUCAUUUCCUUUAGAAAUGAGACUCUUUUAUGUGGUAAAGUCAGGCUGGGUAGGGCACACAUUUCCCUACUCUUCAUUGUGAAUGUGUAUGGGUUGAAUUAAAAUAAGCAAAACAAAACCCCACUACCCAGUGUUUGAACCUGCAGCAGGGUGGGAGCAAACAGUGGUGCAUGUGUGUGCAGGAGUAUCUGGCGGAUAGUUUUGCCUGGUGCCUGCUGAUGGGGUGAGUGAACAGUCCUCUCUCCAUUUGACAAGCCCGGCCAUCUGGAACUUUGGAAACUCAAGAUGCGUGUCCUGAGAUAGCUGGCACUGUGCUCUUUCUUGGAAAUCCUGAUGGUGUAGUGGUUAAGAGAUGUGGCUGCUAACCCAAAGGUCGGCAGUUCGAAUUCACCAGCUGCUCCUCAGAAACUCUAUGGGGCAGUCCUACUUUGUCCUGUAGGGUCGCUAUGAGUCAGAAUCGACUCGACAGCAGCCGGUUGGUUGGUUGGUGCUUUUUCUUAAUAUUGAAGUAGGCAAAUAGCUCAUUUCACAAACAUGCAUAACCCCAUCUGUCAUUUAAAAGGUCUUGUUCAAUUUUUUUUUCUUUUCUAAAGCUAUUAUCCCAUCUCUCUCUCGCAUUUUGUCCUGACUCUCUGUCCCAUCAGCUGACUGGCUUUCUCUAAUUACACAUGUACAUAUAGGUAUGUUUCCCGAAGAUUUAGCCUUUGGUUUCUUAUUUACACAAGAUUUUCUUCAUGGUUUUAUUUCAUCUCACAACUACCACAAGAAACUCUCAGCUAGUAAGUAUUAAACUAUUAAUACUUUAUCUCUGACCUACUUUUUUUUUUUUUUUUU